UCAACGCUGGCGGCGUGCCUCAGACAUGCAAGUCGAACGAGAAGUCCCCUUCGGGGGAUGGACAGUGGCGCACGGGUGAGUAACACGUGGGUAAUUUACCUCGGUGGGGAACAACAGCCGGAAACGGCUGCUAAUACCGCAUAAUGCAGCGGCUCGACAUCGAGACAGUUGUUAAAGCGGGGGAUCCAAAAGACCUCGCGCCUGAAGAGAAGCCCGCGGCAGAUUAGCAGGUUUGGUAGGGUAAUGGCCUACCAAGGCGACGAUCUGUAACCGGCCUGAGAGGGCGGUCGGUCACACUGACACUGACAUACGGGUCAGGCUCCUACGGGAGGCAGCAGUCGGGAAUUUUGGGCAAUGGGCGCAAGCCUGACCCAGCAACGCCGCGUAGAAGGAA
This 394-nucleotide ribosomal RNA is filed under the name uncultured bacterium. Its description in RNAcentral is "bacterial SSU rRNA". It matches the Rfam family "Bacterial small subunit ribosomal RNA", at positions 32 to 412 of the family's 1533-position model. The record is from RNAcentral.